Non-coding RNA from Ictidomys tridecemlineatus (thirteen-lined ground squirrel), 711 nucleotides. NCBI's taxonomy places the organism in Eukaryota, Metazoa, Chordata, Mammalia, Rodentia, Sciuridae. The record is from RefSeq and is a predicted model, not a curated record.
UAGCACCUUAGCACCAACAGCAGGUUCACACAGGGUCUUCUUGAUUGGGGGUGGGGGGUUGCUCUGUUUCUGUUUCUGUUUUGUUUUUGUUGACCUCAGCUGUGGAGGUCAGACUCCAGAUUCUGCAGCCUUUGAAUGAGGGCUUGGAACAGGGAGUGUACAGGGGGCUCCCUCUGCUCACAUCCUGAAGUGGGAGGAUAAUUGGUUCCUGUUGUUAAGAGGCUUCCAGCUUCUUGAACUGAGUGGCUACUGGUUUCCCCUGCCCUCCAGCCUACAGUCAGUCGUCGUGGAGCUACCCAUCCUCUGAUCCUCCUCAUGAUCAGAAGAAAUAGCAUCCAGUUGGGAAUCAGGUUUGUGUCUCGCGGUGUAUGCAUGUAUUGGUUCUGGGCCCUUGGUUUGACUUUAUCCUGAUUCUGGAAAAUGAGCCACCACUUUGUCCUUGUCUCUGAAAUAACAUCCAGAGGGUCAAUAGUUUAAUUGUCUUGGAAGAAUCUCCCAUUCUAUGAAAUAUCUAACAGAAACAGUCAAAUCUCCUCAAAAAGAAGAUGUAUUUUACAGGCUGCAAAAUGGAGAGUAUCUACAUAAAUUUAUUAAGGUCCAAAAAAAUCUAGGAAUGUUUCCAAAUACUAGCAAUAUGUGCCGGGCGAGGUUAUUCAUGUAUUUUCUUUCCUGGAAACAUUCUAACAAUAAAAAAUAAUGAAUAACUGUGAA